RNAcentral lists this ribosomal RNA (936 nucleotides) under Arthrobacter sp. ZGTC131. RNAcentral describes it as "bacterial SSU rRNA". It matches the Rfam family "Bacterial small subunit ribosomal RNA", at positions 11 to 943 of the family's 1533-position model. The record is from RNAcentral. Lineage: Bacteria; Bacillati; Actinomycetota; Actinomycetes; Micrococcales; Micrococcaceae.
GUUUGAUCCUGGCUCAGGAUAAACGCUGGCGGCAUGCCUAAUACAUGCAAGUCGAACGGGGGUGCUUGCACCCCAGUGGCGAACGGGUGAGUAACACGUAUCUAACCUACCUCAUAGCGGGGGAUAACUUUUGGAAACGAAAGAUAAUACCGCAUGUGAAUCUUAUUAUCGCAUGAGAAAAGAUUGAAAGGACCGUUUGGUUCACUAUGAGAUGGGGAUGCGGCGUAUUAGUUAGUAGGUGAGGUAAUGGCUCACCUAGGCGAUGAUACGUAGCCGAACUGAGAGGUUGAUCGGCCACAUUGGGACUGAGAUACGGCCCAGACUCCUACGGGAGGCAGCAGUAGGGAAUUUUUCACAAUGGACGAAAGUCUGAUGAAGCAAUGCCGCGUGAGUAAUGACGGCCUUCGGGUUGUAAAGCUCUGUUGUAAGGGAAGAAAAAAUAGAGUAGGAAAUGCCUCUAUAUUGACGGUACCUUACCAGAAAGCCACGGCUAACUAUGUGCCAGCAGCCGCGGUAAUACAUAGGUGGCAAGCGUUAUCCGGAUUUAUUGGGCGUAUAGGGUGCGUAGGCGGUUUUGCAAGUUUGAGGUUAAAGCCCGGAGCUCAACUCCGGUCCGCCUUGAAAACUGCAUUACUAGAAUGCAAGAGAGGUAAGUGGAAUUCCAUGUGUAGCGGUGAAAUGCGUAGAUAUAUGGAAGAACACCUGUGGCGAAAGCGGCUUACUGGCUUGUUAUUGACGCUGAGGCACGAAAGCGUGGGGAGCAAAUAGGAUUAGAUACCCUAGUAGUCCACGCCGUAAACGAUGUCGACUAGCCGUUGGGAUCCUUGAGAUCUUAGUGGCGCAGCUAACGCAUUAAACAUUCCGCCUGGGGAGUACGGUCGCAAGAUUAAAACUCAAAGGAAUUGACGGGGGCCCGCACAAGCGGCGGAGCAUGUG